GUUUGCAAAUGUUGUAUAUUCCCUUUAACCACAUAGCGCCCUCUAUUGUCUAGAGCACAUAACCAUGUGAGUUUUGAGUGCAUGUAGGCAGCCAUCUUGUUAGACACAAUACACUAUUCUUAGCUAGCUGAAACAUCUCAAGUGUGCUUUUUAUUCAGUCCGAUUCAUCUGAUCAUUACAGACAUGGAGAGGAGGCCAAGGAACCAACCUGCUUUGGUCGUGUUUAAUUUUAGCCGUACGCGGCAGCUAUGACCACAGAUUUCUCAGAAUAGUUAGAAAUGUUAGGUCUAGAAACCAGACUUUUGCAAUGGGAGCUGUCAUUGUCUGCGUAUUAUGUCUAUUCUUCACUAUGGAGCUCUCACAAAUGCAUUUAAUCUCCACGAUGCCAAGGUCACACCUCUAUCUGUGGAGUCCAAUUAUUUCCCCUGUCUUCAGUCAUUAGGGGUACACAAUGAGAUUCAACAAGUACACUACUGGCAAAACAGCAUCCUCUAUUCCAAACCUCAGCAAAAUAAAAUGUGUUGCAGCGGAAACCGAAUACUACUGGAUCGACAAUGUCAAGAUAACAGCAAAAGUGGGUAUCCACAAGUCAGUUAUGUGCCACUACCAAGGUUUUCAUCCACAAAUGUUUUUGAUGUAACUUCCAUGGCGUUCACCGGGCAAGCAAGUAUUCUAACUCAGAGUACAACAGGAUCUAAAAUAGACAGUAGUCUGAACCGUACACCCAAUGACAACAACUUGCGUUUAUGUGGCAUUUCCAAAUUUAAAUGUCCUGAAUGUAUGAAACUGUUUGUUACCUCUGGGGGCCUAAUGAAACACAGACAAUUCCACAGUCAAUCGGUCUCUGGCAGGAACUGUUUUAGCUGCAAACAUUGUGAUAAACAGUAUAUGUCUCUAGGGGCCCUGAAGAUGCACAUUCGCACUCAUACAUUGCCUUGCAAAUGCAAGUACUGUGGCAAAAGUUUUUCACGACCUUGGUUACUGCAGGGCCAUAUCCGCACGCACACAGGAGAGAGGCCAUUUUCGUGUGCACAUUGUCGACGUUCUUUUGCUGAUCGUUCAAAUCUUCGUGCACACCUUCAAACACAUUCUGAGGUGAAAAAGUACGGUUGCCAGAGGUGCGCUAAAACCUACUCAAGAAUUUCUCUUUUAACAAGGCAUGAGGUCACCGGUUGUUUUCCACAAGCAGUUGCUUCAAGUGAAUAACAGCGAAAAUUCUGCAAAGCUGUAUGGAGCGAGUUCCCAAUUAAUAAAUCAAAAAGUGCAUUUAACAGUGAUUAUUCUUAUAUAUUGUCUAACAAUUAAGGUGAUUUUGUUUUUUUAUUAUUACGUUUUUCCCAAUUGUAAACUUGUAUGUGUGUUCAUCCAUGGAGCAAGGAACAGAAGGAGAUAGAACUCCCCUACUUCAAAGUGGUAUAUGAUCGUCACCUCCCUCGAAAGCAACAACAGAAAGCACCUGGCAGCCAGCUUAUUCAGUUGCUUUUCUACCCUAUUGAUAUCCGUGCCCACUAAUGCUAGAAGAAGGAGUUAGGCUUUGUGGAUAGCACCAUGGUAAUGCCGGCGCAGUUGUCAUACAUUGCCGUAAAUGAAUGAUUUUGAAAGCGUAUGUUCGGAGUUGGCUAAUACUGGCUCAUAAUGUGGUCAACAUAACUGAACAAAAUACUUAUACUCUAUACCGUCCGUUGGAAACCGUCGGAAAUUUCCCAAAUUGUCAUUUCAUAAAUGAUAUAUUGCCAAUAAAAAUUUUCGAAAGACAUGAUAACUUUUCGGAAAAAAUAUUCAAUUUAUCUUCAAAUAACAGAAACAGAUAGCGCUUUCAAGGUCCAAUAAAACGCACAUUGAUUACUUGAUUUCAUAACUCACGUCUAACAACCGAACAGUUGUUAAAACCUAUAAAAAAAAAUUUAAAAAAAGAGAGCAACGAUGUGACAUGACGAGGGAGGUUGUUGGUUACCAGCUAAAAGGUGGUGAUGAUCAUCGUGUUCAAAGGCCACUUGCAUUCAUGCAAUGAAUGGUCCAGGCUUGGGGUCACAGUUUUUUUUAGCUAUGGACAUCCUGAGGGAUUGGAGUGUUAAUGGUCAAAAUGUAAAGUGCCCAAGAGUUCUAACUCCUUCUGUUCCUUGCUCCAUGGUUCAUCAUUACUGAUUUUUUAAUGAUACAUUACUAGUCUCAUGGCCAUGGGGUUUCUUCGCUUGCAAGUUAAAGGGAAGUCUUGGCCCAAGACAUCAGUGAUCAAUAGCCAUGGUUGCAUUGUAGAGUGCUGUUGCACAAUGUGCGGUAGAAGUGUGACAUUAUGUCGGGUCGUCUCCAAUGGUGACCAUUCAACACAAUGUCUCAUCCACCAUUUUAAUUGUACUUUUUGAAGAAGCAGUUUAGGUGAACAUUUUCUAUUUGAGAUUUCGCAGACGUUAAGAAUAAAUAAGACUGAAAAAUGGGAGAGUGCUUCAUA
RNAcentral lists this long non-coding RNA (2449 nucleotides) under Patiria miniata (bat star). RNAcentral's name for it is "uncharacterized LOC119739519". The record is from RNAcentral. Lineage: Eukaryota; Metazoa; Echinodermata; Asteroidea; Valvatida; Asterinidae.